Molecule: ribosomal RNA, 584 nt
Filed under: Xylaria cf. microceras
Lineage: Eukaryota; Fungi; Ascomycota; Sordariomycetes; Xylariales; Xylariaceae
Description: eukaryotic LSU rRNA
Rfam family: Eukaryotic large subunit ribosomal RNA
Source: RNAcentral
GACCUCGGAUCAGGUAGGAAUACCCGCUGAACUUAAGCAUAUCAAUAAGCGGAGGAAAAGAAACCAACAGGGAUUGCCCUAGUAACGGCGAGUGAAGCGGCAACAGCUCAAAUUUGAAAUCUGGCCCUCGGGUCCGAGUUGUAAUUUGUAGAGGAUGCUUUUGGCGCGGUGCCUUCCGAGUUCCCUGGAACGGGACGCCUUAGAGGGUGAGAGCCCCGUACGGUUGGACACCAAGCCUCUGUAAAGCUCCUUCGACGAGUCGAGUAGUUUGGGAAUGCUGCUCUAAAUGGGAGGUAAAUUUCUUCUAAAGCUAAAUAUUGGCCAGAGACCGAUAGCGCACAAGUAGAGUGAUCGAAAGAUGAAAAGCACUUUGAAAAGAGGGUUAAAUAGCACGUGAAAUUGUUGAAAGGGAAGCGUUUGCGACCAGACUUUUUCCUAGCGGAUCAUCCGGUGUUCUCACCGGUGCACUUUGCUAGGUAAAGGCCAGCAUCGGUUUCUGUAGGGGGAUAAAAGCUUGGGGAAUGUAGCUCCCUCGGGAGUGUUAUAGCCCCUCGCAUAAUACCCUUACGGGGACCGAGGACCGC